RNAcentral lists this long non-coding RNA (1318 nucleotides) under Nicotiana tabacum (common tobacco). RNAcentral describes it as "long non-coding RNA (NTAB_LNC012818)". Lineage: Eukaryota; Viridiplantae; Streptophyta; Magnoliopsida; Solanales; Solanaceae. The record is from RNAcentral.
GUUCAACUAAUACUGUGGCACCACCCCCGACCCUCGAAGUCGCAAAAAUCCAAAAGCAGCAGUUCCAACAUAAAAUCUUUUGUUGAUUCAACAGACAAAAACAUCACUUGGAUGAUUUUUCCAAUGAAAUACUCAAUUAAUUUUUGAAUUUCUGUCUUGAAAAAACAAAGAAACUUAGCAACUCAAAUUUCACUGCGCUGUUCAGUUUUAUUAAUGUGUAGGUAUUAUCGAAUCUAUGAAGAAGGAAAAGAUUAGGAAAAAUAAUAAGACAAAAAGAGCAAGAGAAAAGAAAAUAAGCAGGAUUUGAUUCUCACCUCAUGUUCUCAGUUUUCUUUAGGUUACUCCAACUCUCCUUUAGCUUUUUUUUUUUUUUUUUUUCUCAUUCGGUGUUCGGUACUCAUAUUGUGGCCCACUAAAUUCGAAUUCGUGUCGAAAAGUUUACAGUGGAGGGAGGGGGUAAAGCGCUCUCUAACAAAGACGACUACAUACCCGGACUCAAACCCGAGACCUCUGAGUAUGGAUGAUGGAGUCCAUCACAACCCUUGUUCGUCUCCUUUAGCUCUUUCUCUUCUGAAGACCUAAAAUAUAUCAGGUUUAAAGUUAAAAGUGCCAAAAGUUCUUUGAAAAACGACUAAAUCAACCAAAUCAAAUCUUAUUCAAACAAUCUUAGGUUUUGAUAAAAAUCUCCAACACUAUUGAACAAUUAGCUAAGGUAGGUUUUUAUUUUUGUAAACAAACAGAAAAAAAAAAGAACCGAAUAAUAUGAUGGUAAUAUUUCUAUAAUUCAAUCAAACUACAUCAAGAAAAUAAAGCACACACUGUGUGUGUGAGAGAGAGAUGAAAGACAACUUCUGAUCUAUCAGGUUGAGAUACCAUUAAUAAUCAGAACUUCACUUGCCAGGAAAGAAUAAUCACAGAUCUACACAGUCCUCAUUUCAUCAGCAGGGUCUUCAAAAAGAGCAGUGAACAGUCUCAAAAUAAAACAAAGAUCCAAAUUCACCUGUUAGAUUUUGAAAAAAUAAAAAUAAAAAUAAAAAACAGAUCGAUCUGACAAGAACAUUGUUUCAGUACUGAACUGAAAUACAGUAAAAAUAAAACAAGGUAAAUCCAUAUAUCUUGACAAAAACUGAACAAACCGUACUAUACUUCUGGGGUCUGAAUUUCUCCUUUUGCUUAGAGUGUCAGCCUUAAAAGAAAGUACUCUGGUUAGCAUAGGCACGACCAGACAUUUAUGAGUUCUGAAUUUUCUAUUAAAAUUUAUAGCUCGUUUAGUUACCUCAGCUCCAGUAAGUUAGGUAGUCGUUUAUUGCUAAUGCAG